The submitters of this non-coding RNA (56 nucleotides) gave its source as unclassified sequences. The record is from Rfam.
CAGGAGCCGGUCAAUGUCAUUACCCCUGAAUUGGGAUAUGAGAAUACCGGUGCAGA